Molecule: long non-coding RNA, 269 nt
Filed under: Gossypium barbadense (sea-island cotton)
Lineage: Eukaryota; Viridiplantae; Streptophyta; Magnoliopsida; Malvales; Malvaceae
Description: long non-coding RNA (GBAR_LNC010404)
Source: RNAcentral
AGGGAGAGAAACUCGGUCUCACAAAGCCCUUGUCUGUUAACUCCUGCAACUGAGCCUUCAAUUCUUUUAAUUCAGUCGGAGCCAUUUUAUAUGGAGCAAUCGAGAUCGGUGCAGUACCCGGCAACAAAUCAAUGGCAAAAUCUAUCUCUCUGUUCGGAGGCAACCCAGGCAAUUCCUCUGGAAAUACAGCUGGAAACUCACAGACUAUCGGUACUGAUUCAAACUUCAGUUGAGGCAACUCAAUAUUCAUUACAUAAGCCAGAUAAGCU